RNAcentral lists this long non-coding RNA (2223 nucleotides) under Marmota monax (woodchuck). The record is from RNAcentral. Lineage: Eukaryota; Metazoa; Chordata; Mammalia; Rodentia; Sciuridae.
GGGCAGACAGGGCUCAACCACAGUGGCAUUUGGACAGACUGGGAGGAGGUGAGGGUGCAGCCCUGCCACCAUCUGAGGGAACAGCAUUCCAGGGAGAGGAUAGAGCAUGUGCAGAGGACCUGAGGCAGGAGCAGCCUGGUGAUUUUAAGGGGCAGAGCGAGGGAGCCGGGGGGCAGGGGAGGAGGUCAGAGGGUUCAGGGCCAGAAGACAGACCUUGUGUGGGCUUCCAGCUUCCAGCACAGGGGGAACCAGAGGAGAGCCCUUGUGGGGUUUGGAGCAGAGAUGCUCGCUCAGCGUGUUGAGAAUAGACAACGGAGUAGAGUCGGUACAGGGUGGCCAGGCGGGGGCUGACAUGGACCAGGACAGCGAGAGGCAGGCUGCCUUGGGAACUUCUCAAAGUGGAGCCGGUGGGCUUCCCUGACUGUGGAUGUGGGGCCGGGGGAGAUGGGAAGGAGGGGUCUCGACUCAACCCCAGCUGCUGAGAGGUCAUCGUUGCCACUAAGAUGGGCAAAUUGUGGAUGUGGCAGAUCUGGGGCGUGCGUGGGGGUCUCUUGGGGCCUGACCGAUAUCCACAGAGGUGCUUCCCAGGUGGCUGCGUGGAGCUGUAACUGGGGGUCCCAGCAUCUGCCUAGGAUCCCAAUUCUGGGUGCUACUGGGUGCUGUGGAUAGGAGAUGACCUCGGGAGGGGUGUCACUGACCACCUGAGCACCUGCUGCAGAUUGGCCCUGGAGGGGGCAGUGGUUAUAAUCCAGCGCCUGUCUGCUGGGUUUGUGGUUGGGGAGGCAGAGCCUGCCUUGGUACGCGGUCCUCACCGUGGAAUGAGUGAAAAGGUUCAGGCUGAGAGCGAGGGGCCGUGGAGGGUCAGGGUGGAGGACUCAGAACAGGCUUCAGGGGCCCUGCCCCAGGCCUGGAGGGACAAGCUGUACAUGGCAGGGCCAGGCAGAGGAAGGACAAUCCAGGGAGGAGGAACAGAGUGGGAGAAGGCCCAGAGGAUGUAGGCAAGAGGGGCUGGCUUGGCCCUGGUAAAGAGGCCAGAGGAAGAACUUGGGUGUUGUUCAUGCCCUGCAGCGCAGAACUCUGGGACUUUGGGCAGUUUCUUAACUUUGCUGAGCCCCAGCUGCAAAACGGGAAGGCCCACCUCCUGCAUGGGAUUGCUCUGAGAAAAUGUCAGGGUCCGGUCGUUCAAUUUGGGUGUGACAUGCUCAGCGUGUCAACCUGGGGGCUCUCAGCCCUGCCCAGUGGGCCUCUUUCUGGUGGCCCAGCAAAGAGCAGAGCAUCAAGAGAGCCACCUUGGCAGUGCUGGGCUGCCUCAGGCCAGGCAGACCCGAGGGGUGAGGGGCUUCGAGUGCUCAGAGUCCUGGCUGCCCCUGGUGACCCUGUUCUAUUUUAGGCUCCGUCUCGGCAGACGAGGAAGCUUGUCCCGCUGCCAUGCAGCUAAUGACAGCCUGGAAAACUGGAAAACUCUUAAAACAGCCGUGCUAUUUUGAUCCCCAGGAGGUGGUCGCCACUCCUGCCCAGGCAGCGUGAGCGUGGGUGGUUCUAAGGAGACCAAGGCUCUGAUAGGAAGACGGUCACAGUACAAAUCACAGUCCUGUGACUGCACAGGAUGCGCCCACAGCACUCCCUCACUCCCUGGGUGUCCAGCACCCUCUCUGCGCAGAGCUCUGGGUUUAGGAUAAUUCUACCCUUGCCGUAGGACCCGGAAGGAGCCCCUGUCGCCUCCACCCGAAUCCUCCUCAGGCCCAGUCCUGGCCCAGGCAGGCCUCUGUCCCCGUGGGAGCAGGCCACAGAGGGCGCGGGCUGUGUCCACCGCCAGCUGAGACCUAGAGCUUUCUGUGCCCACAGGACAUUUCUUCUGGGCUUUUUAAUCAAAAAUGGUUUGAAGUGGCUCUUGCCCAGUGGAGCUGUGGGUGGCUUCCUCCCCUUUCUAAGAAAGGGCUUCUAGGUGGGCCCCAGGCCUGGGGUGGCGUCUGGGGAAGGGUAGAGGCAGCCCGAGGCGGGGUGUGCUCACCUCUUCACUGCGCUGUGACGUAGCCGCGUUGGAGGUGGGCGGUGGUCCUGUGGUGGCUGUGGUUUGCGUUUAGGGAAAACAACAUUGUUUUUUUCCUUUUUUGGUCUAUUGCCUGAUUUCUAUGCAAAAUGGACUCUCGAGCACAGGCUCAGUCCAUCCUUAGAACAGCAGGCACGUGUCCCCGCUGCUGCGGCCACUGUCCUUCAGGGAGC